This 429-nucleotide ribosomal RNA is filed under the name Chloroflexota bacterium. Its description in RNAcentral is "Chloroflexi bacterium partial 16S ribosomal RNA". It matches the Rfam family "Bacterial small subunit ribosomal RNA", at positions 355 to 776 of the family's 1533-position model. The record is from RNAcentral. Lineage: Bacteria; Bacillati; Chloroflexota.
UGGGGAAUAUUGCACAAUGGGCGCAAGCCUGAUGCAGCCAUGCCGCGUGUGUGAAGAAGGCCUUCGGGUUGUAAAGCACUUUCAGCGGGGAGGAAGGCGUUAAGGUUAAUAACCUUGGCGAUUGACGUUACCCGCAGAAGAAGCACCGGCUAACUCCGUGCCAGCAGCCGCGGUAAUACGGAGGGUGCAAGCGUUAAUCGGAAUUACUGGGCGUAAAGCGCACGCAGGCGGUCUGUCAAGUCGGAUGUGAAAUCCCCGGGCUCAACCCGGGAAUUGCAUCUGAUACUGGUCAGCUAGAGUCUUGUAGAGGGGGGUAGAAUUCCAUGUGUAGCGGUGAAAUGCGUAGAGAUGUGGAGGAAUACCGGUGGCGAAGGCGGCCCCCUGGACAAAGACUGACGCUCAGGUGCGAAAGCGUGGGGAGCAAACAGG